CCUACGGGGGGCAGCAGUGGGGGAUAUUGGACAAUGGGGGAAACCCUGAUCCAGCGACGCCGCGUGAGUGAAGAAGUAUUUCGGUAUGUAAAGCUCUAUCAGCAGGGAAGAAAGAAAUGACGGUACCUGAGUAAGAAGCCCCGGCUAACUACGUGCCAGCAGCCGCGGUAAUACGUAGGGGGCAAGCGUUAUCCGGAAUUACUGGGUGUAAAGGGAGCGUAGACGGUGAUGCAAGUCAGAAGUGAAAGCCCGGGGCUCAACUCCGGGACUGCUUGUGAAACUGUGUGACUGGAGUGCAGGAGAGGGAAGCGGAAUUCCUGGUGUAGCGGUGAAAUGCGUAGAGAUCAGGAGGAACACCAGUGGCGAAGGCGGCUUACUGGACUGUAACUGACGUUGAGGCGCGAAAGCGUGGGGAGCAAACAGGAUUAGAUACCCUUGUAGUC
RNAcentral lists this ribosomal RNA (443 nucleotides) under uncultured bacterium. RNAcentral's name for it is "partial 16S ribosomal RNA". It matches the Rfam family "Bacterial small subunit ribosomal RNA", at positions 338 to 795 of the family's 1533-position model. The record is from RNAcentral.